Molecule: ribosomal RNA, 380 nt
Filed under: uncultured Rhodoferax sp.
Lineage: Bacteria; Pseudomonadati; Pseudomonadota; Betaproteobacteria; Burkholderiales; Comamonadaceae
Description: bacterial SSU rRNA
Rfam family: Bacterial small subunit ribosomal RNA
Source: RNAcentral
AGAGAUAGAGGCGUGCUCGAAAGAGAGCCGUAACACAGGUGCUGCAUGGCUGUCGUCAGCUCGUGUCGUGAGAUGUUGGGUUAAGUCCCGCAACGAGCGCAACCCUUGUCAUUAGUUGCUACAUUCAGUUGGGCACUCUAAUGAGACUGCCGGUGACAAGCCGGAGGAAGGUGGGGAUGACGUCAAGUCCUCAUGGCCCUUAUAGGUGGGGCUACACACGUCAUACAAUGGCUGGUACAAAGGGUUGCCAACCCGCGAGGGGGAGCUAAUCCCAUAAAGCCAGUCGUAGUCCGGAUCGUAGUCUGCAACUCGACUACGUGAAGUCGGAAUCGCUAGUAAUCGUGGAUCAGAAUGUCACGGUGAAUACGUUCCCGGGUCUU